GGAACCACUAAUGUGAUCUCUUCACCUUCAUUAGCAGAUUCCUUGGCUGCUGGUGCAGUCAUAUAAAAAAAAAAAGCAGAAAAAGCUGCUGGCUUUAAGGUGGGGUAGGUGAGCAGGACUGCUGUCCCUGGGUUGUAGACAAUGGAACCUCUAACCCUGAGCCUCCAACAGGGCAAGCUGUGAGGAAGGAACAGGAGAGGGGCUGUGUUGGAGACAUGCUGCAUUAACCCAAAAGAACAAAGCACGGAGAUGACAACAACAAGAGUAAAAAGGAAACAGUAGAGAAGAGGAAUCACUUGUGGCUCUAUUUCCUGCACAAUGAGAGUGGCACAGCACUAGAGGAGCAGCAUUGGUUAACAUCAACUGAUUUUACUAAUUGUUUUCCAUUAGGAGGGCAACUCAGCCAGAAUAGGAGCCUGAUCCUCUUAGCUACUAAUCCUGUUGCUACAACCACUAGCUCAGCUGAUGCUUUUCCUGAGAUGAGUGGCUCUUAAUUGAACACAGGAAUUAAGAUGUGAGCAUAAUGGUAAUUUUUGUUUUAUUCUCUAUUUCUUUUCUUUCCUAAUAAUUCCUAACAUUCUUGUUGCUU
RNAcentral lists this long non-coding RNA (589 nucleotides) under Cyanistes caeruleus (blue tit). RNAcentral's name for it is "lncRNA (ENSCCEG00000014971.1)". The record is from RNAcentral. Lineage: Eukaryota; Metazoa; Chordata; Aves; Passeriformes; Paridae.